Molecule: ribosomal RNA, 304 nt
Filed under: uncultured fungus
Lineage: Eukaryota; Fungi
Description: eukaryotic LSU rRNA
Rfam family: 5.8S ribosomal RNA (bases 1-71)
Source: RNAcentral
GUGAGUCAUCGAGUCUUUGAACGCACAUUGCGGCUUCUGGUAUUCCGGGAGGCAUGCCUGUCUGAGCGUCUAGAGUCCCCCGCUCAAGCUCUUUUGCUUGGUUGUGGAGGUUGAGCGUUGUCUACGUGCUCGUUCACCUUUGAAAUUCAUCGGCGUACUUCUCCGUGUUCCAAUUAGCGUAAUAGGUUAACUCUUUCGCUUGGACUCGUGAAGCUGUCCCGUCGUAAUUACCCCCAUUACUUUUUGGACGACCUCAGAUCAGGUAGGGAUACCCGCUGAACUUAAGCAUAUCAAUAAGCGGAGG